UUAAGUAAGAAAGGGCGUACGGUGGAUGCCUAGGCACUUGAAACUGAAGAAGGACGCAACAAACGGCGAAACGCGGCGGGGAGCUGUACGUAAGCAAAGAUCCGCCGGUAUCCGAAUGGGGGAACCCGGCAUGCGUAAUAGCGUGUCAUCCGCAGAUGAACAAAUAGUCUGCGAGAGAGGUACCCGGGGAACUGAAACAUCUAAGUACCCGGAGGAAAAGAAAACAACAGUGAUUCCCUGAGUAGCGGCGAGCGAAAGGGGAGGAGCCCAAACCAGACCGAGGUCUGGGGUUGAAGGACCGCGAUACGGCAAGAAUCAUGGUAGGAGAACGGCAUUGAAAGGCCGACCGGAGAGGGUGCAAGUCCCGUAUCCGAAACCGUGAGGAAGCCCAGCGGGAUCCUGAGUACGGCGAGACACGAGAAAUCUUGUCGGAAGCAGGCGGGACCAUCCGUCAAGGCUAAAUAUAAGCAAGUGACCGAUAGUGAACCAGUACCGUGAGGGAAAGGUGAAAAGAACCGCGGGAGCGGAGUGAAAUAGAACCUGAAACCGUAUGCUUACAAGAAGUCAGAGCACGUUAAGGUGUGAUGGCGUGCCUUUUGUAGAAUGAACCGGCGAGUUAUGUUAUCGUGCGAGGUUAAGCAGGAGAUGCGGAGCCGAAGCGAAAGCGAGUCUUAAUAGGGCGGCAGUACGAUGACAUAGACCCGAAACCGUGUGAUCUAGCCAUGACCAGGUUGAAGUUCAGGUGAAACUGAAUGGAGGACCGAACCGACCCCCGUUGAAAAGUUGGCGGAUGAGUUGUGGCUAGGGGAGAAAUUCCAAUCGAACACGGAUAUAGCUGGUUCUCCCCGAAAUAGCUUUAGGGCUAGCGUCGAGGAUGAGUCUUGUGGAGGUAGAGCACUGAAUGUACGAUGGCCCCAUCCCGGGGUACUGAGUAUAAUCAAACUCCGAAUGCCAUGAGAUAUUCCCGGCAGUCAGACCGUGGGUGAUAAGGUCCAUGGUCAAAAGGGAAACAGCCCAGACCGCCAGUUAAGGUCCCAAAAUGUAUGCUAAGUGGAAAAGGAUGUGGGGAUGCACAGACAACUAGGAGGUUGGCUCAGAAGCAGCCAUCCUUCAAAGAGUGCGUAACAGCUCACUAGUCGAGUGACCCUGCGCCGAAAAUGUACCGGGGCUAAGCAUACUACCGAAGCUGCGGAUUUGUAGUAAUACAAGUGGUAGGGGAGCGUUCCAUGCACGUGGAAGCCAUACCGUAAGGAGUGGUGGAGAGCAUGGAAGUGAGAAUGCCGGUGUGAGUAGCGAGAUGCAGGUGAGAAUCCUGCACACCGAUAGCCCAAGGAUUCCAGGGGAAGGUUCGUCCGCCCUGGGUAAGUCGGGACCUAAGGCGAGGCCGAAAGGCGUAGUCGAUGGAAAACAGGCAGAUAUUCCUGUACCCGCGAUGGAAAUGAAGGAAUGACGGAGAAGGCUAGCAUGAGCCACUUAUUGGAUUGUGGUCGAAGCGAAUAGCAGGUGCACAGUAAAAUGCGUGCACGGGAUGUAAAACGUGACAGGUAAGCGAAACCCCUGGGGAGUAGCGAAGCAUGCGAGGCCAGCUUCCAGGAAAAGUUUCUAGUGCUAAUUCCAUAGCGGCCCGUACCAAAACCGACACAGGUGGGCAAGGAGAGUAUCCUGAGGUGAGCGAGAGAACUGUUGCCAAGGAACUCGGCAAAAUGACUCCGUAAGUUAGCGAGAAGGAGUGCUUAUGAAAGUAAGCCGCAGUGAAGAGGCCCAAGCGACUGUUUAACUAAAACACAGCUCUCUGCGAAGUCGCAAGACGAAGUAUAGGGGGUGACGCCUGCCCGGUGCUGGAAGGUUAAGAGGAUUUGUCAGUUUCGACGAAGCAAUGAAUUGAAGCCCCAGUGAACGGCGGCCGUAACUAUAACGGUCCUAAGGUAGCGAAAUUCCUUGUCAGGUAAG
RNAcentral lists this ribosomal RNA (1950 nucleotides) under human gut metagenome. Its description in RNAcentral is "bacterial LSU rRNA". It matches the Rfam family "Bacterial large subunit ribosomal RNA", at positions 3 to 1980 of the family's 2925-position model. The record is from RNAcentral.